AUACGGAGGGUGCAAGCGUUAUUCGGAAUCACUGGGCGUAAAGGGUGCGUAGGCGGUUUGAUAAGUCUGAUGUGAAAUCCUAUGGCUCAACCAUAGAACUGCAUUGGAAACUGUCAAACUAGAAUACUGAAGGGGCAGAUGGAAUUAGUGGUGUAGGGGUAAAAUCCGUAGAUAUCACUAGGAAUACCGAAAGCGAAAGCGAUCUGCUGGGAAGUUAUUGACGCUGAGGCACGAAAGCGUGGGGAGCAAACGGGAUUAGAAACCCCGGUAGUCC
Molecule: ribosomal RNA, 274 nt
Filed under: uncultured bacterium
Lineage: Bacteria
Description: partial 16S ribosomal RNA
Rfam family: Bacterial small subunit ribosomal RNA
Source: RNAcentral